This 23-nucleotide microRNA is filed under the name Oryctolagus cuniculus (rabbit). Its description in RNAcentral is "Ocu-Mir-17-P4c_3p* (star (passenger))". Lineage: Eukaryota; Metazoa; Chordata; Mammalia; Lagomorpha; Leporidae. The record is from RNAcentral.
ACUGUAGUGUGAGCACUUCUAGU